Long non-coding RNA from Homalodisca vitripennis (glassy-winged sharpshooter), 496 nucleotides. RefSeq lists it as uncharacterized. Lineage: Eukaryota; Metazoa; Arthropoda; Insecta; Hemiptera; Cicadellidae. The record is from RefSeq and is a predicted model, not a curated record. The transcript has 3 exons.
GUCCGGAGACGUCGCUUUGUUUAUCUCCCGGUUCGUGCGUGAUUAUCGCGUAGUUCCCGCGUACUCGAGUCGUAUCUUCACUGGUGCGCGGAUACGUCGGUUCCCGCGCCCGCUAGUGCGGUAAUAGCCGGGGAAUUGUGACCACAGGGUGAUACACACCGAGAGCUCAGUAUAACCUAUAAAUCUAUUGAUGUUGUGUCUAUAAUCAGUGUUUUAUUGGUGUUGUGGGUAUUUCUGUGGUUAAAUUGUGUGUUAAGUGGUGUUCUCUGUGGAGCCGAAAACUACCCCCGAUUUGCCCCGGACAUAAAGGAUAGUUGCAAAUACAAGACUAUAGUGGCGGGAAUUUCGUUUCGGAAUUGGAUUUAAUGUCGGUCAGUGCGUGAAUUGUCCCCUAGUGUAUCCAAGAUGGCGUCGGCCUCGUGUGUUACCACGCUGCUGGGAUUCUACCUGCUGUCUUCUCUCCGAGGCUGCGUCUCCACGCUGGAAAAACUAUCAG